CAUUAAAGAAUCGCCCCGUUUUUCGAAAUGGGUUCUAUUCCCAAACCGUGUAUACAUACCUUUGUUGCUUUGGCAGGCCGCCAUUUAGGCGUCGGCUUCGGCUGACUGCGCCUGCCAGAGGACCCAAACUCGUUUGUUUAGUGAUGUCUGAGUACUAUAUAAUAGUUAAAACUUUCAACAACGGAUCUCUUGGUUCUGGCAUCGAUGAAGAACGCAGCGAAAUGCGAUAAGUAAUGUGAAUUGCAGAAUUCAGUGAAUCAUCGAAUCUUUGAACGCACAUUGCGCCCCUUGGUAUUCCGAGGGGCAUGCCUGUUCGAGCGUCAUUAUAACCACUCAAGCCUCGGCUUGGUCUUGGGGUUCCGCGGUCUCGCGGCCCUUAAAAUCAGUGGCGGUGCCAUCUGGCUCUAAGCGUAGUAAUUUCUCUCGCUAUAGGGUCCCGGUGGUCUCCUGCCAGAACCCCCCUAUUUUUUACGGUUGACCUCGGAUCAGGUAGGGAUACCC
Molecule: ribosomal RNA, 501 nt
Filed under: uncultured Ascomycota
Lineage: Eukaryota; Fungi; Ascomycota
Description: eukaryotic LSU rRNA
Rfam family: 5.8S ribosomal RNA (bases 170-323)
Source: RNAcentral